Molecule: ribosomal RNA, 864 nt
Filed under: Triticum aestivum (bread wheat)
Lineage: Eukaryota; Viridiplantae; Streptophyta; Magnoliopsida; Poales; Poaceae
Description: partial small subunit ribosomal RNA
Source: RNAcentral
AUGGACUGCCGCGACGGUUACAUCCUCCUAUGGAACAAGCUCGAUAGGCCGUCAGUGGACAAGCCCUCCGUCGCCGUCGUGAACCCCAUGACCUGGGCCGUGGACAUCAUCCCGUUGCCCGGCAAUGUCAAGGCUGGGAAACGUCGCAAUUUCGCCUUCCUUGGUUUCCACCUGCUGUGCUCCGAUGAGAAGCCCUCGUCCUUCGGCGUCGUCUGUGUCUGCGGGGAUAAGCUAAGGGUUCGUCUCGCCGUCUUCUCGUCCGAGACGUGGGAUUGGGUUGUCCACCCGUGGGUGGAAAUCUAUGGACGCAAGAAUCUAAAGUUUGGUUCUGGCACACUCGUGGAUGGGUCUGUUUACUGGCCUUUCCAUGGCGAAGGGCGCAUGAUAAGGAUCGACACUGCGACCAUGGAUAUCACAUCUGUGGAUCUACCCCCGCAGGUGACGGUGGAGGGGUGCAAUUUCAUGGCUGGGGAGACCAAGGAUGCCCAACUCUGCAUUGUCUAUGCAUCUGAUGAUUUUGCUCUUCAUGUUUGGACCCGCGGUGUGGAUGGUGAUGGGAUUGAGAUUUGGGUGCCGCAGAAGACAAUUGGUCUGAGUGAAAUUGAUAGGAUCACUAUGGACCUGGAGGGCGACCUCGAAGUCGUGCAGGUUAGGUCUGGAUGCGUGUACUUGUCCACAACAUGCAUGACACCCGUUGGUACAUUCCGCUGCUGGUUCUUCUCCCUUUCACUGGAGACAAUGGAGCUUGAGUUACUGGUCGAGGGAUGCUUUGAUGGGGGUGCCUGUCCGUAUAUUAUGGCCUGGCCUCCUUGUUUGGUUGGUGAUGAUGGGAGCAUCGGACAUGAAGUUGAAGGUUCUCAAUGA